RNAcentral lists this ribosomal RNA (852 nucleotides) under Inocybe aff. geophylla. RNAcentral describes it as "partial large subunit ribosomal RNA". It matches the Rfam family "Eukaryotic large subunit ribosomal RNA", at positions 135 to 974 of the family's 3401-position model. Lineage: Eukaryota; Fungi; Basidiomycota; Agaricomycetes; Agaricales; Inocybaceae. The record is from RNAcentral.
UGUCCGAGUUGUAAUCUAGAGAAGUGUUACCUGUGCUGGACCGUGUACAAGUCUCCUGGAAUGGAGCGUCACAGAGGGUGAGAAUCCCGUCUUUGACAUGGACUGCCUGCACGUUAUGGUGCGCUCUCAAAGAGUCGAGUUGUUUGGGAAUGCAGCUCAAAAUGGGUGGUAAAUGCCAUCUAAAGCUAAAUAUUGGCGAGAGACCGAUAGCGAACAAGUACCGUGAGGGAAAGAUGAAAAGAACUUUGGAAAGAGAGUUAAACAGUACGUGAAAUUGCUGAAAGGGAAACGCUUGAAGUCAGUCGCGUCUGCUAGAAAUCAACCUCGCUUUUGCUUGGUGUACUUUCUUGUUUGACGGGUCAGCAUCAAUUUUGACCAUUGGAUAAAGUCGUUGGGAAUGUGGCAUCUUAGGAUGUGUUAUAGCCCAUUGUCGCAUACGGUGGUUGGGAUUGAGGAACUCAGCACGCCCGCAAGGGACGGGUUUCGACCACGUUCGUGCUUAGGAUGCUGGCAUAAUGGCUUUAAUCGACCCGUCUUGAAACACGGACCAAGGAGUCUAACAUGCCUGCGAGUGUUUGGGUGGAAAACCCAUGCGCGCAAUGAAAGUGAAAGUUGAGAUCCCCUUCAAGGGAGCAUUGACGCCCGGACCAGACCUUCUGUGACGGAUCCGCGGUAGAGCAUGUAUGUUGGGACCCGAAAGAUGGUGAACUAUGCCUGAAUAGGGUGAAGCCAGAGGAAACUCUGGUGGAGGCUCGUAGCGAUUCUGACGUGCAAAUCGAUCGUCAAAUUUGGGUAUAGGGGCGAAAGACUAAUCGAACCAUCUAGUAGCUGGUUCCUGCCGAAGUUUCCCUC